AUCCAGCUGACAAGUUCGAAAUAGGACGAAACGCGCAUCAAACUGGAU
RNAcentral lists this non-coding RNA (48 nucleotides) under Schistosoma mansoni. Lineage: Eukaryota; Metazoa; Platyhelminthes; Trematoda; Strigeidida; Schistosomatidae. The record is from RNAcentral.